CCGCGGCCUCUGCCGGGGCUGGUACCCGCUGCCGAGCUCCCGACACGUGCGGAGUGACCAGCUGUGGACUUAAGACAGAUGUGACCCCAGGGUGACUUGAAAUUAGGUCAUUCUUCACCUUCUGGAAGAGAGGAAAUAGUAACAGGUGAACACUGUACUUGUGGAGUUUUUAGAUACCUUCACCUGAAUGAGAAAUCUGUCUCCGUCAGGACCUUAGAUGUCUGACAGCUUUGUGGCACACCAAGACAAGUAACCAAAGAAAUUUAUGUCCUGAUGUCUUAAGAAGAUGACGUAAAACAUCAAACUUUUUUUAAUCCCUUUUGUUUCUUUUUUUAUUCUAUUCCCAUGGUUCAGUGGACACUGGAAUUAGACUGGGAGGGUUAUUGCUCUGAAUAUCCACGCUACUGUCAUAGGUAGCAAUAAACACAAGUAUCCUCUUCGUUGCUCAGGCCAAGUUUCAGGUCCAAGACCUCUAGCAUAUUAAGAGGGAAAACUUUAAAGAAUAUAAAGUUCCCAAAUUUGGAGAGGAAGAUGAACUCCAGAAAAUUCCAAAUAGAUUUAACACUUAAAAUCGUUACUGAGACAAGUUAUAAUCAAGCACCCAGAAGGCAAAGCAUUACUGGAUAUUGUGUACACUUGUAAUCCCAGCAACUUGAGGCUGAAGCAAGAGGAUUGCAGGUUCAUGGCCAGCCUAAGACUUGGCAAAACCCUGUCUCAAAAAGGAUUGGAGGU
This is a long non-coding RNA of Sciurus carolinensis (gray squirrel), 732 nucleotides long. RefSeq lists it as uncharacterized. The transcript is spliced from 6 exons. The record is from RefSeq and is a predicted model, not a curated record. Lineage: Eukaryota; Metazoa; Chordata; Mammalia; Rodentia; Sciuridae.